UACGAAGGGGGCUAGCGUUGUUCGGAAUCACUGGGCGUAAAGGGCGCGUAGGCGGCCGUUCAAGUCGGGGGUGAAAGCCUGUGGCUCAACCACAGAAUGGCCUUCGAUACUGGACGGCUCGAGACCGGAAGAGGUCAGUGGAACUGCGAGUGUAGAGGUGAAAUUCGUAGAUAUUCGCAAGAACACCAGUGGCGAAGGCGGCUGACUGGUCCGGUUCUGACGCUGAGGCACGAAAGCGUGGGGAGCAAACAGG
RNAcentral lists this ribosomal RNA (253 nucleotides) under uncultured bacterium. RNAcentral describes it as "partial 16S ribosomal RNA". It matches the Rfam family "Bacterial small subunit ribosomal RNA", at positions 524 to 776 of the family's 1533-position model. The record is from RNAcentral.